CAUCAAUUCGAGUACAUUGAAAGUACUGAAUAUCUCUUGAAUUCCUUUCCUCACCUUCCGCUAGCCAGCUUAGUUCAUUCUCUCCUGGUCACUCAGUGAUCUGUAACUAAUGCUGAUUAGUGGGCAAUAGUUGUUUGACUCUCUUGCAGCCCUUUCUCCCCUUCCUCCUACAGCAGGCCUUUGUUUUCUUGUGUUUGUUUGUUUGUUUGUUUGUUUUUGUUUUGGCUUUGGGAUUUUGUUUAUUUGUUUUUGAGGAUUUACCACGUUCUACCCUUAUUGCAGGUUUCCUGUCUAGUGCCUUUCUCCUGGGGUGAAAAAAUAACCUAAGCAAGUCCAUUAAGAGGAAUAGCUGGAUUCUUGCAGGAAAACCAGAAAAGAGGCUCCCUCUUCUUGCUGAAUUUAAGUCUGGAAAAUGUAUGACUGAAAGCGGCAGCCAUUGGCCACCAUAAGCCUGAGAACAAAGCCAGCAUAGACAAGGAAGAACUGAGAGAAGAAAUUGCUUCUUGAUGACAUUGCAUUUUCAUUUUCAUUUUCAUUACAAUAUUAUUAAAAGAGACAAUGCAUUUACUUUUUUAAAAUUAGGACUUUGGACAAGAGAUGUGGAGAGUAUUUUCCUGAGGACAGAUUGGGAUGAACAACAAAGUGAACCUUCAGGGUUAUGAAUUUUAUUAAUUUUAUUGACCACUGCUGAGUGCCAGAUCCUGAAUUCCGGAUAACCUCAUCUGUAAUGUACAACACUUGUUUUGUAUAUUUCUGAUAUGCGAGGUCAUCUAAAGCAGGAAUUCCAUUUUCCGUAAGACAAUCUCUACCUUUAGUGAACAAUCUCUCCCAUCGUCUACUGGAAAAAAAUCUUUAGAUGGCAUUCAAAUUGAAAGCCCUGACCCAAACAUUGCCUACUUCUCUAAGUUUAUGUCUUACCACUGCCGGCCCCUGCAUUGAUUCUCCUCCCUUAAUUUUCCUCUUUCCAUAAUGUUUAUUCCUUCCAUAAAUGGUAGAGUUGGGACUUGUACACAAAGUCUAAAUCCAGGACUUGUGUCCUAAACACCAUACUCAAUUGUUCAUUCUACUGUUGUUCAUCUAGUGCUUCACUUUUCUUCACAACAGAAUUUAGUGGCUCCUAUCACCUAAAGGAAAAUGUUUAUACACAGUGUUGUGGCACCAGAUAUUAAAACUUACCUCAAGUGCUCACCAAAAUGAAUUGUUUCCUCCCUUUCAUGUUACACCAUAUUUACCUCCAAGUAGAUUACAGACUCGUUGAAGGCAGAAAUUAUGCUUUAUACCUCUUGAUGUGCCUCUUAUUACUAAACACAAUGAUGUGAUGUGUGGCAUUAAAAAGUUACUUUCUUAAAGAAUCCAUUUUCAUUUGAAAAAAACACCUAUAGUUCAGAGACACCUUGUGUAUAAUGAAUCAUGGUGUUAUUUGUUUUCCCUCUCCAAUUAAUUUGGUGCAAUCUCCAGCUAGAACAUCAUGUCUGGCUAAUUUAUUGCAGGGCCAUCCCUCUUCUCCACUGGGACACCUUCUUCUUGUUCUGUAUCUGUGUGUGCUUGGGGUGGACACCUGGUGGAAGGUCUGUUCACAGGCUUGCAGAUGGGUGGAGGGGAGCACACCGCCCCCUCGUGAAAACUGGCUUGCCACUGAGAGAAUUACCUUAUGUCCUCUAAUCCAAAACCAUUCUGCAUGUUUUCCUUACUAGGAUUUAAAGAACAUACUCUGUUCCCAUCCAAAUGUGAGAAGUUUAAUUUCAA
Molecule: long non-coding RNA, 1746 nt
Filed under: Homo sapiens (human)
Lineage: Eukaryota; Metazoa; Chordata; Mammalia; Primates; Hominidae
Description: HSALNT0041080
Source: RNAcentral